RNAcentral lists this ribosomal RNA (649 nucleotides) under Labium sp. MM s.n. RNAcentral's name for it is "eukaryotic LSU rRNA". It matches the Rfam family "Eukaryotic large subunit ribosomal RNA", at positions 420 to 799 of the family's 3401-position model. The record is from RNAcentral. Lineage: Eukaryota; Metazoa; Arthropoda; Insecta; Hymenoptera; Ichneumonidae.
CCUGCGAAACCCAAAAGAUCGAACGGGGAGAUUCAUCGUCAGCGAUCCUGGUAUCUGUACGGUUCGCGAUGCCGGGGACCUCGGUCUCUCGGCACGCGUCCGUAUGUUUUUCAUGACCGGGUAUUGUCGGCGUGCACUUCUCCCCUAGUAGGACGUCGCGACCCGUUGGGUGUCGGUCUACGGCCCGGGUGGGCGCCUGCCCUGCGUUCGCCUCGCGGCGCGUUACGCUGGUCAGACCCCCGGUUGCCCGACCGGCUGCUUCCCGGCGGUACUCGCACGGUAUCGAGUCGCAGACAUUAGAACUGCGUCCGGCCCGCCGCAAGCGAGACCAGUGAUAAACCCGGAUGUACGGAUCUAACGCCGUCGCCGGGCCUGGUCGGCUGUUGGUUGGCGGUGUCCUCGGACUGGCUCAAACAUAAAUUGUGAUACCGGUCGGCGACGCUACUGCUUUGGGUACUCUCAGGACCCGUCUUGAAACACGGACCAAGGAGUCUAACAUGUGCGCGAGUCAUUGGGAACUCUUAAGCCUAAAGGCGCAAUGAAAGUGAAGGUCGGCCUCGCGCCGACCGAGGGAGGAUGGACCGCGUCACGAUGCGGUCCCGCACUCCCGGGGCGUCUCGUUCUCAUUGCGAGAAGAGGCGCACCCAGA